This 253-nucleotide ribosomal RNA is filed under the name uncultured bacterium. RNAcentral's name for it is "partial 16S ribosomal RNA". It matches the Rfam family "Bacterial small subunit ribosomal RNA", at positions 524 to 776 of the family's 1533-position model. The record is from RNAcentral.
UACAGGGGGGGCAAGCGUUGUUCGGAAUUACUGGGCGUAAAGGGCUCGUAGGUGGCCAACUAAGUCAGACGUGAAAUCCCUCAGCUUAACUGGGGAACUGCGUCUGAUACUGGAUGGCUUGAGUUUGGGAGAGGGAUGCGGAAUUCCAGGUGUAGCGGUGAAAUGCGUAGAUAUCUGGAGGAACACCGGUGGCGAAGGCGGCAUCCUGGACCAACACUGAUACUGAGGAGCGAAAGCCAGGGGAGCAAACGGG